Molecule: non-coding RNA, 538 nt
Organism: Cinara cedri
Lineage: Eukaryota; Metazoa; Arthropoda; Insecta; Hemiptera; Aphididae
Source: the annotation of a GenBank genome assembly
GCCGCAUCGAGUUUUAGCUGUCUUAAUAUCGUUGUUGUUGUUGUUGUUGUUUGCGUUUCCCUUUUCGACGAUUUCUUUCGCGUUUUUUUUUUUUUUGUUGUGUUUUUUCCGUUCUUCGCGUCCGUACCGUUUUACGACCGGGGAACCGUCUGGGUAUUACAGACGCGUAUAACGAACGUUUGUCGUGUACGGCCGCGUAUGCGGUGUGACGGUCGAAUCGCGGUCGUCGCGAAAUCGGCGGAUCGCACGCUAUACAGGCCGGGACGCCUGCAAUUUAAAUGCCCGAAAACACCGGAUGGCCGGGCGGUCUGGACGUGGACUGUCAAUAUUGCCGGUGUGUGUGUGUGAGAGUGUGUCGGUUAGCAUCGAGCGUGUUGUUGCACGGUAGUCGCGUCGCGCACGGCCGCGGACCGAAUUUAUAUAACAGCGCGUGUGUGUACGCCCGCCAACUAUAGCGCGUACGAUAAUUGUUAGCUGUGCGUACGUUUGUAAUACCCGCAGAGGUAGGUCCCUACGCCGUAAUAAUGUUGGCGCGCGC